GAAGGUACAUUGGAACUGAGACACGGUCCAACUCCUUACGGGAGGCAGCAGUGAGGAAUAUUGGUCAAUGGGACGAGAGUCUGAACCAGCCAAGUAGCGUGAAGGAUGACUGCCCUAUGGGUUGUAAACUUCUUUUAUACGGGAAUAAAGUUGGGCACGUGUGCCUUUUUGUAUGUACCGUAUGAAUAAGGAUCGGCUAACUCCGUGCCAGCAGCCGCGGUAAUACGGAGGAUCCGAGCGUUAUCCGGAUUUAUUGGGUUUAAAGGGAGCGUAGGCGGAUGCUUAAGUCAGUUGUGAAAGUUUGCGGCUCAACCGUAAAAUUGCAGUUGAUACUGGGUGUCUUGAGUACAGUAGAGGCAGGCGGAAUUCGUGGUGUAGCGGUGAAAUGCUUAGAUAUCACGAAGAACUCCGAUUGCGAAGGCAGCUUGCUGGACUGUAACUGACGCUGAUGCUCGAAAGUGUGGGUAUCAAACAGGAUUAGAUACCCUGGUAGUCCACACAGUAAACGAUGAAUACUCGCUGUUUGCGAUAUACAGUAAGCGGCCAAGCGAAAGCGUUAAGUAUUCCAC
Molecule: ribosomal RNA, 569 nt
Filed under: uncultured Bacteroidota bacterium
Lineage: Bacteria; Pseudomonadati; Bacteroidota
Description: bacterial SSU rRNA
Rfam family: Bacterial small subunit ribosomal RNA
Source: RNAcentral